Molecule: long non-coding RNA, 3646 nt
Filed under: Olea europaea subsp. europaea
Lineage: Eukaryota; Viridiplantae; Streptophyta; Magnoliopsida; Lamiales; Oleaceae
Source: RNAcentral
GAAGUCUUUCUCUCUGUGCGGCAAAAAAUAAGCUGAUGAUCACUCUCUCUACUCUUCAUAAUUUCUGAGUUAAGUUUCAUUGUCUUGAUUAAAUAUUAUAGUGAGAUUAUUGCGCAUGCAGUUGGUUGAUUCUCUUCGUGUGCAUUGCGUACAAAGGGGAUGAUUUUGGUUGAGGAACGUCUGUAAUCAUCUGAUCUUGUGUAGAUCGAGAGGUGUAAUGGUUUGAACUCUUGUAAACUAUGAUUCUUGAGAUCAUAGUGCAAAGGGAGCAUUAGUCAACCUGCGUAGAGAUUCAACAGAGAUACAGGUGGUGGUGGGCACACUACACCAAAAAUUGGCUUUUGCAACACUCAUAUAUGGCAACAUUCCAAUAAGUGAAUAUUGCGAUUGGUUAAAUUUAUUGGGUUUUAGCAAUGUUUUUCAAAUUAAUGUUGCUAUUGUCACUUUUUGCAAUGCUCGUUGUGAAAAGUUUUAUUUUUUGCAAUGUUCUUUGACCGUUGUUAAAAUAUAAUUCUAUAGCAACAUUUAGCGCCUGUUGUUGAAACUUAUUUUCGUAACGUUCAAUGAAUGUUGCCAAAAGUCAGUCAAAAAGCUUUUUGCAACGGGUGUUUGAAUGUUGCAAAAAGUGAAAUUCGCAACGUUCUUUUCAAAAAACGUUGUAACGUGUUGAACUUUUUUUAAAAUUGAUCCUAUGUGAACCAAAAGAAGAACUCCUCAGACAUUAGCCCUAAUUUUUCCUUCUUCUCUCAUGUCCGCCUCACUCUUCUCGUUACUUCCUCUCGCAAUACUUCCUUCCCUUUCCCAUAAUAGAGCCAAAAUAAUCCAAACCCUAAACCAAUUCAUUAACCUCACACCGCCGGAAUUUAUAGUUGUCGUCGGGAGUAGCCAGACUUGAGUCGCAGUGGACAACAAUGGUGGCUGCUGUAACUGCUUCUUAUUUUCUUCUCACUGUUGACUUUGGCACUGAACCAAAUGCUUUUGACCAAGUAAGUGCGUUCGUAUGAGCACGUGUUUUGAAUUAAUUUAAAUUUCUUGAUGGGUUUUCCUUUGUUUUUUUGUCUUCUUCAUACACAUCUGUUAGUUAACUUAAAUUCGUUAAUGUCCGGUUGUGCUUUAGUUUAUUGUGUUUCUCUUUACGGGCGCGCAGUUGGGCAAGCGCGUUUAAUCGGAUAUCGAGACUUAGGUUCCAUUUUCAUGGUUUGUUUUAAUUUUUAGGCGAAAGGAGAUUUUAUCCUUGAACUCCCAACUCGAACUUAUGAAUCGUCAGUGAUAUAGGGAAGAAAUUUGAGACCAAUUUCUCUCACGGUCUUCAUUAUGUUAAGUUAAUUGAAAACGGGGCAAUAGAGUUUUGUUAGAAGAAAAUUUCAGUUUGAUUUGUGUUCUUGUUAAUUAAAGCCAGUUAGAAGAAUCCUUAGGCCACAAAAUGGCAAUAGAAAAUUUUCUGAAUUUCUAGUGCACAAAUCAAAUUCAUAGGAUGGUAUGAUUUCUAAAGAUGAAAAGAGCAGAGGGUCAGUAGAGAUAGACAAGGAUGUGUGCUCAAGCUCCACUUUGACAAUUUUGAUCACGAAAUAUAACGAAAAUGUAGAUUCCCUAAUUUCUAGAUUGGUGCAAAAUGUAUUUGGGCAUAGUUAAGUACUAUUACGAGUAGCAUGGACUCUAAUAUUUUUUUUCCCCUUCUAAUGGCUAGCUUUUAAUAGAAGUUUUUCUUAUGGUUUUUUAUAUCCUCAUGUACUUGAUUAGCUUGCUUUGAAGUCCCAAAAUGAAGAGAGAACACUUGCAAGUUGCAAUGCCAGUUUUUCAACUGAUCCAGUAAUUAGCAUAUGCAAUUUGCUUAGUUGAUUGAAUGUACAAAUUGUUAAUCGAGUGGCCAUCCAUUGAUAUGAGUACUUCGUACCUGUAACUCUGGAUGCACAGGAAACACAAAUGUAGCUCUGACAUUUGAACUGCAAUGAUCAGCAUUUGAAUUUUUUAUUAUAUCCUAUUAACGUCCCUAAUCUAUGGUUACAUAAAUAAGCUUCUAAUGAUUGAGCUCAAAUUCCAGAUCCUUUUUUAUUGAUUGAACAUAGAAUUUUGUCCUAUAUUAAUGGAAAGAUAUCUAGCAGUCAAAUAAAUAAAACAAAAGAUAGUGAUAAAAUCAUUUUUAUGAGUUGGAGGUUUUAUAAUUUCUGAUCUUUACCAUUCCAUGCAACUGUGCAUUCUAAGUUAUAUGUUAGAUGAUGAUGAGGUAUUCAUGUGUUUUUGAAUGCUUUUUGGGAAAAUUUAAUCAAAUAGCAGGAUGAUAGAUGACUACUACACAUUGAGAAUGUUUGUAUUUACAUGUCCAUAGAGUGGCAGGUAGAGAAUUUUUGCAGCUUGCUUUUUGAAUGCUUUCUGCAACAUGAUGAAACAGAGUUUUUUUCCUAUGAAGUGUGACGGUAAGGUUAUCUUGUGAAAAUAUUGGAUGCUUUUAUAUCUGUAGGAUGUUUUGAAAGAUGCUUUUAUAUAUGUAAGAAGGUGUUUUCUAAAUCAUGCUUUUAUAGUACGAUGUGCAUAAUAUUUUUGUUAGCUUCAGUUUAAGGUGAUCUGAUGCAUAUGCUUUUUGUGUAAAAAUAUCUGAAUAUGAUGUGCACAAGACUAGAAAAUAUAAGCAUUCAUUUUCUCUUUCUACUUUAUCUAAUCUAGUUUUCCCAUUGCCUUGGUGCAGGGUAACCUUCAAAUCCUUGAAAGCUUCUUUGACCUGAAAAUGCCAUCAAUCAAGUUCCCGACUUAUCCCUAUAUCAGCAUUACUGUUAUCCAAAACUGAGAAGAACUGUCUCUAUUACAGUGCAUAAAAAGUAAAGGGUAGAUGAAGAAGUAUGAUGUCAAUUAUUUAUUUAACUCAUGGUGCAGGGUUUUUUUUUUUAUUCUGCAGCUCAUAAGUGUCAUUGAGUUUAUCACCUGGUGGAAUAACUAUUGGAUGCCUGAUGACAGAAAUAAAUCAAGGUACAAACAUUCCAUUUCUUAAAACUAUGUACUUUCAAGAUUUCAUUUUAGAAAAAGAUCCAGGAUAUCGGGCAAAUUUACCCCUUUUCUUUAAAUUUCUGUGGCAGCUGUUCCCUCGGAUUAUUCAUGGCGACACUAUUUUAUAUAGUCUCUGUAUGUGGCCUGGUGGUGAUGUAGACAUACACUUGCAAACUUUUUGUUUACAGUUACAUAAGGGGGAGGGGAGAAGGGUUGCAUUAGUGAUUCUGGUUAUAAAUUACGAUGUUAUGCCUCUAAAUGUUGUAGUGGUUUCUUAUCCCCACCACCUAAUUUUUAGAUUAAUGAAAUGAAUUUUUUACUUAUUGCUUCUUGAGUUCGUUCUAUCUUUAGGUAUAUAGGAACUACUCGAUUUCUUUCUGUCUAUCACCCUUGGUCUGUCUUUAUCAUGAUUCAGAAGAAAAUCAACUUGAUAUAUUCCUGGUUUGAAGAUUCGAAACUUGCUAUCAAAUUGCUUUGGCCAUAAAGACGGAGUGGAGGAUUUCAGAAGGCAGGCAUUACUGUUAUUUGAAACCUGUUACCAUUACUUUUUUUUUUUUUUUUUAAAUUAAGGAAAUCUAUUGGUUUUUAGGCGCUUUAAAAUUUUGGAUCUAAAUUUUGUAUGCAUAUUUUGUUACAUUUUGGAGUACAAUUAUUAUGAUUAUUGGAG